Long non-coding RNA from Brachypodium distachyon (stiff brome), 448 nucleotides. RefSeq lists it as uncharacterized. The transcript is spliced from 2 exons. The record is from RefSeq and is a predicted model, not a curated record. Lineage: Eukaryota; Viridiplantae; Streptophyta; Magnoliopsida; Poales; Poaceae.
CUCCUCCAAAUGAAGAAGACAGCCAUGAAGAUGGCACCGGUGAAGACCGAUGUUGUGGCCGCCAAGGCCACCGCGAACUUGGCCGACUUUGGUCUGCCCGCUCCGAUACCCUGACGCUGGAUCAUAAACAUGCUUUUCAGGAACCAAUCAUGCAUUGAGAUCCGAGGAAACAGGGAUGGAGACAACAUUAAAAACACGUCACCAACCAUGCCGGUGCUUCCCAAUAAAUUCCACCUCCUAUGAUGGGUGUACAGCAUAAUUUUUUUUCCUUGCGGCCGAUAGGAACUGCUGAACAACCACUAGGCAACCGUUUCACAUUCAUGUCAUCUUGGACAUCAAUUCUUCUUGUUAGAUGUAAGCCUCACCUGUGGAAAUAACGUGUGGUUUGGAUGCAUGCAUGGAUCCGUUCUCACUUCUAAAGUGUCUGCAAUGGAAAAUUAGUUGCAUC